Molecule: long non-coding RNA, 2563 nt
Organism: Equus asinus (donkey)
Lineage: Eukaryota; Metazoa; Chordata; Mammalia; Perissodactyla; Equidae
Source: Ensembl
AAAGACAGCUGGGGAUUUGCAGCCCCCAAGCAGGAGGAGGGCUCAGAGGAUGAAAAAUUACUAAGAGGAGACAGCAAGGGUAGGACUCCCACUUAAACUGGGCCAGGUGGCCUAAGACAAGGCCUAGGGACAGGCCCAGUUGAAAAGAGGACUCAGAGGAGCCCGUCUGAAGUUUGGUCGAGGAGAGAGUCUUUAUCACGUGUUACGGGAUCUUGGGAAAACUCCCCUUUCCAGGGCUUUGCAGGUGCGGUCAGGAGCUCCUGAGGUGGCCCCCGUGCCGCUGCCCACUGUAUGGACACGCUGUGCAGUGCCCUCUCCUUCAGUGUGGGCUAGCUCAGCGGCUGCUGCCAACAAAGAGAAUACAGCAAAAUGAUGGCAUGUCGCUUCUGACUCUAGGUCACACACAGACCAUGGCUUUCAUCCUGGGCACCCUUUGCUCUCUCUGAGUGAAGCCAGCUGCCAUGUUGUGAGCUGCCCAAUAGAGAGGCCCAUGCACCAAGGACCAGAGGCAGGCCUCUGGCCACCAGCCAGCGAGGCCAGCAAGGCCAGUGAGGAACAGAGGUCUGCGGUCCAGCAACCCACGAGACACCAACUCCUGCCAACAAGCACGUGAGUGAGCCUGGAAGCAGAUCCGUACCCCGUCAAGCUCAGAUGACUGCAGUCCUGGCCAGCAGCUUGACUGCAGCCUGGGAGAGACCACGGGGCAGGGGGCCAGCCAGGCCAUGCGCACACUCCUGACCCACGGAAUCUGGAAGAUAGCAAAUGUGUGUUGUUUUAAGUUGCUGACUUUGGGGACAAUUUGUUACGCGGCUGUGGAUAACUAAUUCGACACAUAAAAAUCAAGUGCUUACAGGGUACCUGGCGCCUUUCCCAUCAUUCUCUCCCCUGCCGUGCUUGGGAGUUCAGCCCAUUUCACAGACAUGGAAGCUGAGACUCAAGAGGUCCCGUGACUUGCUCAAGAGCGUCUAGCUGGAGAGCUGUGAAGCCAGAACACAAGUCCAGGCUCUUUACCCACAAGCCCCAAGAAGAUGGGGCAUCCUACCCAAGACUUGUCAGGGCAUUUCCACCUGCCUCAUUCUUGAGCAUCAAAGUCAGGCAGAUAUUAUGACUCCAUUGGCCAGAUGAGGAAACUGAGGCCCAGAGGGGAGACUGGCUUUUUUAAACUCAUAACACAUAAAGUCAGUGUUAGUUGCAAAGCCAUGGUUGGAACCCAGAGUCCUGAGUUAGGCUCCAGAUCCGUAUUUACCACACCCCAGGCUGCCUCCCCACACCAGUCCUGCUCAGACAGAAUCUCAUGGAACGGGGAUCAAAAGAAGGCAGACAUGAGUGGUUCUCAGCCUGGGUUCCUCAGGCUCAGACCAGGUUCCAGGUGCUGAUGCUGCUGGCGGACGACCACACUUUGAGAACCUCUCUGUCUCCCAAAUCGCUCUCCUGAUGGUUGCCCAAAGACAGACCAGGUCACUCUGCAGAGACCCUGCUUGCCUGACCGGGCACCGCCUCCUCUCAGGGAGCGCGGCACGGCUGAAAGAACCAGGAAGGGCAGGGCCCUGUCUCGUUCGUCUGUCAACCAUUUGCCAGGCAGCUUCCGUAUCUGCUGACCCAUAAAACCCACAGAUGUAAAUGACACACCCCAAUUUCAUAAGGAAACAUUUUUUUAAAAAAUUCAUUUCUUUUAUCAUAACCGUACCAAAAGCUUCUCCUUUUGUUCAGGUAAAUCGAGUAUUACAGGCAGGAAUAUUUUUGUUAAGAAAUGACCAAUAGGAGUCAAUGGGAAGUGAAAUGAUUCUCCCUGCCGUCUGUUUUGUGUUUCCACGCUUCGCCGCCAGGGGCUGGUGUAUUUUUUUUUGGCACUAAAGCUUCCAUCCUCAAAGCUGAUGCUUUGGAUACCAGGUAACUGGUGGAUCCGUGAUACAGACGCAGAUUCAUAUGUGGAUGUGGCUUCAGAGACAGAUAGAGCUGCAGAUACAGACACAGCUGAAGAUGCAGAAGUGAUGUUCCCUAAGGAGAAAGGACACACUUCCUCCCUCCCCUUCCCUCGGCCUAGAAUGUGGAUGCGGAGGGAGCCAACGUGGACACAUCCAGAUGGCAGAGCAACGAGGUGGACGGGGCCUGGGUGCCUAGAAAGCCUCGUGGAGAAAGAUCAACGUUCCAGUCCUGGGCAAUCCUCCCGGGGUCGUCACGGGAGAGAGAAGCCAGCUCCACUCUGACAUGGCUCUGACUAAUACGUCACACACCAUGGCCUCCAGCGGACAAAAAGCUCCUUGAGGGUAGGGACGGAGCUGCCCUCUUUCGCACCAGACCGCCCAGAACAGGGCCCCCCAGCACAUUUCAGUUCUGGUCUGCCCUUCCUGGGCAGGUAACCUGGGGCCAAUGUCCUCCCUGGCCUGUUUCCUCUUCUAUAAAAUGGGACUAAGAAACAUUCUCCUAAGACCAUCGUCAAGCCCAGUGAGAUGUGUGUAAAACCUCAGCCCCAUGCUGGCACAUAACCAGCCACAUAAACGGUGCCUGUUAUCAGCUAUGAGUUUCCAGAAAUCCGGUCCUGUCCCCUCCCCCCGCUUCAAAC